GGACUAAAUACUUUUUUCUUUUUCUUUUCAUUUGGUUUUCCAUUUAGGGUUUACAAUUAUGCUAUUGUUAUUUUCGAAUGCGUAUUGUUUGCUGGUAGUUUAUGGAACGCGCACCUAUAAUUUAUAUAAUUUAAAGGAUUACAUAUAAAUAUACUAUAAAACACUAUAUAUAUAUAAAUAAUAUGUAUCUAUAGGUCCAUAAUAUAAUAUUUACACAUAUGCUUCACGGACAAAGUAUUUACAACACAAUUUAUCUCCGCCACUCAAGCAUAGUACAAAUGAUCAUCGUUAUUUGGUUUCAUCUGCUCCUGAGGGUUGAAGUAGCACUCGCCGCCGGGAUCCAGGACU
Molecule: long non-coding RNA, 348 nt
Filed under: Sorghum bicolor (sorghum)
Lineage: Eukaryota; Viridiplantae; Streptophyta; Magnoliopsida; Poales; Poaceae
Description: long non-coding RNA (SBIC_LNC011983)
Source: RNAcentral